UGGGGAAUAUUGGACAAUGGGCGCAAGCCUGAUCCAGCCAUACCGCGUGGGUGAAGAAGGCCUUCGGGUUGUAAAGCCCUUUUGUUGGGAAAGAAAAGCAGCCGGUUAAUACCCGGUUGUUCUGACGGUACCCAAAGAAUAAGCACCGGCUAACUUCGUGCCAGCAGCCGCGGUAAUACGAAGGGUGCAAGCGUUACUCGGAAUUACUGGGCGUAAAGCGUGCGUAGGUGGUUGUUUAAGUCUGUCGUGAAAGCCCUGGGCUCAACCUGGGAAUUGCGAUGGAAACUGGGCGACUAGAGUGUGGCAGAGGGUAGUGGAAUUCCUGGUGUAGCAGUGAAAUGCGUAGAGAUCAGGAGGAACAUCCGUGGCGAAGGCGACUGCCUGGGCCAACACUGACACUGAGGCACGAAAGCGUGGGGAGCAAACAGG
This 429-nucleotide ribosomal RNA is filed under the name bacterium. Its description in RNAcentral is "partial 16S ribosomal RNA". It matches the Rfam family "Bacterial small subunit ribosomal RNA", at positions 355 to 776 of the family's 1533-position model. The record is from RNAcentral. RNAcentral also lists the same sequence under 2 other names.